UACGUAGGGGGCUAGCGUUAUCCGGAAUUACUGGGCGUAAAGGGUGCGUAGGCGGUCUUUCAAGCCAGAAGUGAAAGGCUACGGCUCAACCGUAGUAAGCUUUUGGAACUGUAAGACUUGAGUGCAGGAGAGGAGAGUGGAAUUCCUAGUGUAGCGGUGAAAUGCGUAGAGAUUAGGAAGAACACCAGUGGCGAAGGCGAUUCUCUGGACUGUAACUGACGCUGAGGCUCGAAAGCGUGGGGAGCAAACAGGAUUAGAUACCCGGGUAGUCCCUGAG
Molecule: ribosomal RNA, 277 nt
Filed under: uncultured prokaryote
Description: partial 16S ribosomal RNA
Rfam family: Bacterial small subunit ribosomal RNA
Source: RNAcentral